Molecule: ribosomal RNA, 468 nt
Filed under: uncultured bacterium
Lineage: Bacteria
Description: partial 16S ribosomal RNA
Rfam family: Bacterial small subunit ribosomal RNA
Source: RNAcentral
GACGAACGCUGGCGGCGUGCUUAACACAUGCAAGUCGAACGGAAAGGCCCUGCUUUUGUGGGGUGCUCGAGUGGCGAACGGGUGAGUAACACGUGAGUAACCUGCCCUUGACUUUGGGAUAACUUCAGGAAACUGGGGCUAAUACCGGAUAGGAGCUCCUGCUGCAUGGUGGGGGUUGGAAAGUUUCGGCGGUUGGGGAUGGACUCGCGGCUUAUCAGCUUGUUGGUGGGGUAGUGGCUUACCAAGGCUUUGAUGGGUAGCCGGCCUGAGAGGGUGACCGGCCACAUUGGGACUGAGAUACGGCCCAGACUCCUACGGGAGGCAGCAGUGGGGAAUAUUGCACAAUGGGCGGAAGCCUGAUGCAGCAACGCCGCGUGCGGGAUGACGGCCUUCGGGUUGUAAACCGCUUUCGCCUGUGACGAAGCGUGAGUGACGGUAAUGAGUAAAGAAGCACCGGCUAACUACGUG